AACUCUGAUCAGAUCAUCCGAAUCGUGCUCAACUCAAACAGUCCUGUGACUCCUCACAAGGACUAUCCUGGCCAAGGUUUUGCUAAAUUGAAACACGACUGUACACAGCUCCUAAACUGGAGUGAUCAAUCCCAUCUUGAGACACGCACCGACAAGUCAAGUACUUGACUACACCCAGCAACCUUCCAUCACUGAAUUAAAAAUUCAGGUAGUCCAGUGCCUAAGUGCAGUGAGUUGCUUGCAAGUCACCGU
RNAcentral lists this long non-coding RNA (252 nucleotides) under Elaeis guineensis (African oil palm). Its description in RNAcentral is "long non-coding RNA (EGUI_LNC069528)". Lineage: Eukaryota; Viridiplantae; Streptophyta; Magnoliopsida; Arecales; Arecaceae. The record is from RNAcentral.